This 440-nucleotide ribosomal RNA is filed under the name uncultured bacterium. RNAcentral's name for it is "partial 16S ribosomal RNA". It matches the Rfam family "Bacterial small subunit ribosomal RNA", at positions 338 to 795 of the family's 1533-position model. The record is from RNAcentral.
CCUACGGGAGGCAGCAGUGGGGGAUAUUGCACAAUGGGGGAAACCCUGAUGCAGCGACGCCGCGUGUGGGAAGACGGUCUUCUGGAUUGUAUACCACUGUCCCCAGGGACGAAAAUGACGGUACCUGGGGAGGAAGCUCCGGCUAACUACGUGCCAGCAGCCGCGGUAAUACGUAGGGAGCAAGCGUUGUCCGGAAUUACUUGGUGUAAAGGGAGCGUAGGCGGGGAUGCAAGUUGGGUGUCAAAACUACCGGCUCAACCGAUAGUCGCACUCAAAACUGCAACUCUUGAGUGAAGUAGAGGCAGGCGGAAUUCCUAGUGUAGCGGUGAAAUGCGUAGAUAUUAGGAGGAACACCAGUGGCGAAGGCGGCCUGCUGGGCUUUUACUGACGCUGAGGCUCGAAAGUGUGGGGAGCAAACAGGAUUAGAUACCCUUGUAGUC